This 564-nucleotide ribosomal RNA is filed under the name uncultured bacterium. Its description in RNAcentral is "bacterial SSU rRNA". It matches the Rfam family "Bacterial small subunit ribosomal RNA", at positions 338 to 916 of the family's 1533-position model. The record is from RNAcentral.
CCUACGGGAGGCAGCAGUGGGGAAUAUUGCGCAAUGGACGAAAGUCUGACGCAGCGACGCCGCGUGGGUGAUGAAGUUCUUCGGAACGUAAAACCCUGUCUGGUGGAACGAAAAAAAUGACGGUACCACCGAAGGAAGCCCCGGCUAACUCCGUGCCAGCAGCCGCGGUAAUACGGGGGGGGCUAGCGUUAUUCGGAAUUACUGGGUGUAAAGGGCGCGUAGGCGGCCUUGCUAGUCAGGUGUGAAAUCCCUCGGCUCAACUGAGGAACUGCGCUUGAUACUGCAAGGCUUGAGUACAGGAGAGGUGGGCGGAAUUCCCGGUGUAGCGGUGAAAUGCGUAGAUAUCGGGAAGAACAUCGGUGGCGAAGGCGGCUCACUGGACUGUAACUGACGCUGAGGCGCGAAAGCGUGGGGAGCGAACGGGAUUAGAUACCCCGGUAGUCCACGCUGUAAACGUUGGGUACUUGGUGUUGGGAGUUUGAGUCUCCCAGUGCCGUAGCAAACGCGUUAAGUACCCCACCUGGGGAGUACGGUCGCAAGGCUGAAACUUAAAGGAAUUGACGG